RNAcentral lists this long non-coding RNA (782 nucleotides) under Brassica rapa subsp. chinensis. RNAcentral describes it as "80bSSNR". Lineage: Eukaryota; Viridiplantae; Streptophyta; Magnoliopsida; Brassicales; Brassicaceae. The record is from RNAcentral.
AUGUUGUGAAAAGGAGAAUGUGAAAAGAGGACAAUGGACUCCUGAAGAAGACAACAAAUUGGCUUCUUACAUUGCUCAACACGGUACUCGUAAUUGGCGUCUCAUCCCUAAAAACGCUGGUAAAAUUAAUUUGCACUUCUUUAAUCAAGUAGGAAUAGUCUUAUAAAGAUCUGAUUAUCCAUCACUCUGCUGAAUAUUUCAAGACAAACUUUUAAAAACAAACAAAUGUUUGUUAAGGUAAAGAUUUGGUUUUAUAAUGUACAUACAUAUAAAUGAGCUGGUGAAAAUUUGUUUUUGUAGGAUUGCAGAGAUGUGGGAAGAGUUGUAGACUAAGAUGGACGAACUAUUUGCGUCCUGACCUGAAACACGGACAGUUUUCUGACGCUGAAGAACAUAUCAUUGUCAAGUUUCACUCUGUUCUUGGUAACAGGUAUGACCUUCUUUAUAUACCAUCUCUCUUAUGAUCAUAAUAUUUUCUGUACGUUCCAUUUUCUUGGAUGUAGAAAAUUAAUGAUAGACUAAAAGUGGCGUGUUUUUAAAUAAUAAAAUUAUUAUGGAAUAUUGAUGCUUCAGACUGUUGAAAAAAGAAACUGAAUGAAUUUCUCCACAAGUUUCUUGGGAAACAAGAAACUGAAUAUCGGAUCUAACUAUAGCAGGAAUUGCCUUGUUAUAUAUACUUAACUACAGAGUUUUAAUUUUUUGAGUCUUAAAAUGAAUUGCUUCUUCUUAACACCUAUUUGACUCAGAAACUAAAGGUUGUAAUCAAAGUUCCAAAAAAAACA